CAGUAGCCGCGGGAAUACAGAGGGUGCGAGCGUUAAUCGGAUUUACUGGGCGUAAAGCGUGCGUAGGCGGCUUUUUAAGUCGGAUGUGAAAUCCCUGAGCUUAACUUAGGAAUUGCAUUCGAUACUGGGAAGCUAGAGUAUGGGAGAGGAUGGUAGAAUUCCAGGUGUAGCGGUGAAAUGCGUAGAGAUCUGGAGGAAUACCGAUGGCGAAGGCAGCCAUCUGGCCUAAUACUGACGCUGAGGUACGAAAGCAUGGGGAGCAAACAGGAUUAGAUACCCCUGUAGUCCCUGUCUCUUACAC
Molecule: ribosomal RNA, 301 nt
Filed under: uncultured bacterium
Lineage: Bacteria
Description: partial 16S ribosomal RNA
Rfam family: Bacterial small subunit ribosomal RNA
Source: RNAcentral